This 32-nucleotide ribosomal RNA is filed under the name Canna liliiflora. RNAcentral describes it as "partial 18S ribosomal RNA". The record is from RNAcentral. Lineage: Eukaryota; Viridiplantae; Streptophyta; Magnoliopsida; Zingiberales; Cannaceae.
UUUCCGUAUGUGAACCUGCGGAAGGAUCAUUG